Molecule: long non-coding RNA, 388 nt
Filed under: Elaeis guineensis (African oil palm)
Lineage: Eukaryota; Viridiplantae; Streptophyta; Magnoliopsida; Arecales; Arecaceae
Description: long non-coding RNA (EGUI_LNC062344)
Source: RNAcentral
UGGGUAAAGUUCCAUCGGUCAAAUACUGGAUGAUCGGGGUCAUCCAAUUUGGUUCAUCAUUGAUCUGUAGCACUUUUUCAACUUUAUCAAUGCUCGACUAUUCAAGGCAUUCGAUGAACAUCCGAUCCAGUGAGUUAAAUGAAGUGGUUGCAAGUCAGAAGAGUGCAUCGGUUCGAAUAUUUUUUGUUCUUGAAAUGUGAAAGAUCUUAAAAUAUUUUAGAGUCGACAUAAGAUCUUUCACUUUCUGAAGAUACUUCAUCAUACCGAAGUCUCAGGCUUCAAACUCACUCUUAAUUUAUCCAGUAAUCAACUAUGAGUCAGUGAAGAUAUUCAAUUGUCAAUGUCAAGCUCCUUGGCAAUCUUUAAGCCAGCUAAAAGUGCUUCCUAC